CAACCCUCAAGCUUUGCUUGGUGUUGGGCGUCACCAGCCUUGGUGUGCCCUAAAAUCAGUGGCGGCGCCGUCUGGCUCUAAGCGUAGUACAUGCUCUCGCUAUAGAUGCCCGGUGGAUGCUUGCCAGCAACCUCUAAUCUAUCAA
RNAcentral lists this unclassified non-coding RNA (145 nucleotides) under uncultured Dermateaceae. RNAcentral's name for it is "sequence contains ITS2". Lineage: Eukaryota; Fungi; Ascomycota; Leotiomycetes; Helotiales; Dermateaceae. The record is from RNAcentral.